This 267-nucleotide ribosomal RNA is filed under the name Triticum aestivum (bread wheat). Its description in RNAcentral is "partial small subunit ribosomal RNA". The record is from RNAcentral. Lineage: Eukaryota; Viridiplantae; Streptophyta; Magnoliopsida; Poales; Poaceae.
UUCGGCACCGGCGUCAGCUCCGCCUUCUUUGCCUCGCUCGAGCGCUACUCCUGCAUCAACCUCUCCACCGACGACGAUGAUGACGACGAGGAAGAGGCCAAUGACCGCCCCCUCAUGUUGGCCGCCUACUUCGAUCAGCACCACCACGACGCCGCCCCCGCCCCCGCCCCCGCCGAUGCCUGCAAGGAGGAGACGGUGACUCACCCACGCAACUCAAAUAUGAAGUUUAACCCUUUUAUCUGUAUUCUUGCAUGUAAAGAAAGCUAG